GGUGCAGUACGCCAGCGGCUGAGCGGCUUGUUUUAGAAACAAGUGUUUGUGGGUUCGAAUCCCCCCUGCACCA
RNAcentral lists this transfer RNA (73 nucleotides) under Planctopirus limnophila DSM 3776. RNAcentral's name for it is "tRNA-Leu (TAG) (tRNA-Leu-TAG-2-1)". It matches the Rfam family "tRNA". Rfam says of the family: Transfer RNA (tRNA) molecules are approximately 80 nucleotides in length. Their secondary structure includes four short double-helical elements and three loops (D, anti-codon, and T loops). The record is from Rfam by way of RNAcentral. Lineage: Bacteria; Pseudomonadati; Planctomycetota; Planctomycetia; Planctomycetales; Planctomycetaceae.